This 267-nucleotide ribosomal RNA is filed under the name uncultured bacterium. RNAcentral's name for it is "partial 16S ribosomal RNA". It matches the Rfam family "Bacterial small subunit ribosomal RNA", at positions 338 to 618 of the family's 1533-position model. The record is from RNAcentral.
CCUACGGGGGGCAGCAGUGGGGAAUAUUGGGCAAUGGAGGAAACUCUUACCCAGCAAUGCCGCGAGAAUGAAGAAGGUCUUCGGAUUGUAAGGUUCUUUAAUUGGGGACGAAAAAAACGACGGUACCCAAGGAAUAAGCCCCGGCUAACUACGUGCCAGCAGCCGCGGUAAUACGUAGGGGGCAAGCGUUGUUCGGAAUGACUGGGCGUAAAGGGUGUGUAGGCGGUUUAGCAAGUUAGAAGGGAAUUACCUAGGGCGUAACACAGU